This 460-nucleotide ribosomal RNA is filed under the name uncultured bacterium. RNAcentral describes it as "partial 16S ribosomal RNA". It matches the Rfam family "Bacterial small subunit ribosomal RNA", at positions 338 to 795 of the family's 1533-position model. The record is from RNAcentral.
CCUACGGGAGGCAGCAGUGAGGAAUAUUGGUCAAUGGACGAGAGUCUGAACCAGCCAAGUAGCGUGAAGGAUGACUGCCCUAUGGGUUGUAAACUUCUUUUAUAUGGGAAUAAAAUGUUCCACGUGUGGGAUUUUGUAUGUACCAUAUGAAUAAGGAUCGGCUAACUCCGUGCCAGCAGCCGCGGUAAUACGGAGGAUCCGAGCGUUAUCCGGAUGUAUUGGGUUUAAAGGGAGCGUAGGUGGAUUGUUAAGUCAGUUGUGAAAGUUUGCGGCUCAACCGUAAAAUUGCAGUUGAAACUGGCAGUCUUGAGUACAGUAGAGGUAGGCGGAAUUCGUGGUGUAGCGGUGAAAUGCUUAGAUAUCACGAAGAACUCCGAUUGCGAAGGCAGCUCACUGGACUGCAACUGACACUGAGGCUCGAAAGUGUGGGUAUCAAACAGGAUUAGAUACCCCUGUAGUC